This is a long non-coding RNA of Oncorhynchus keta (chum salmon), 595 nucleotides long. RefSeq lists it as uncharacterized. The transcript has 3 exons. Lineage: Eukaryota; Metazoa; Chordata; Actinopteri; Salmoniformes; Salmonidae. The record is from RefSeq and is a predicted model, not a curated record.
GGCAGAACUCUGCAGCGACCAGGGCCAUGAGGCUCCUGAAGUCAUCAGGGUGGUGGGAGAUGUGGAGCGAAGCCAUCCCUAGGAAAGGGGGGAGAAUGAUAACGGAGAUGGGUAACAAACGCUAACGUUAGCUAAAAAUAUGGGGGUCACAAACCAGAUUUGUCCUGCUACGUGUUAUGACUGGGAUCACAUGGAGUCUUCAGUGCACCCUUGGGCCUGACAGUCAGGUAGGAGAAUUCCUUUUAUGGGUUAGGCUACACAUCAAUGCACAUCUGAGGGAGAUUAGGCUAAUAGUUUGACAUGUGUAUUUUCCACCAAGAAAAAUCUUUAUCAGUGCAUAAUUCAUUUUCCGACAGUGUCACACUGUUCCUUAUUAUAUUCACAGACACAGUUCUUAGUCUAUAGCAAAGACACUCAUUAUUUCCUUUGUCUGUAGAUUUAGGUUGUUUGGAUGCAUUCCAUACUAACAGCUGCAUGGCUUUUGGGUGUGAUAGUUUUGGGUUGGGCUACAUGCUGCGUUCAUAACCAAGUGGGAAGGUACUAAUUACCAGUUGUCAAGUCGUAAAUAACAGUUGGAUGCAUUCUUAACUCGUUG